AACUUUUAGAUUCCUGACGCAUCAGCUCUACACACUGGUCUGAAAGGUUAUAAAAGGAGGAAAAGUAGAAUUGAAAGUGGGUUAAAUUCUUUAGUGACACAGGCUAGUUUCAAACAAAA
This 119-nucleotide small nucleolar RNA is filed under the name Echinops telfairi (small Madagascar hedgehog). Its description in RNAcentral is "Small nucleolar RNA SNORA61 (ENSETEG00000026240.1)". Lineage: Eukaryota; Metazoa; Chordata; Mammalia; Afrosoricida; Tenrecidae. The record is from RNAcentral.